UACGGAGGGUGCGAGCGUUGUUCGGAAUCACUGGGCGUAAAGGGCGUGUAGGCGGUUCGCUAAGUCUGAUGUGAAAGCCCGGGGCUCACCCCCGGAAGUGCAUUGGAAACUGGCGAACUCGAGUCCCGGAGAGGAAGGUGGAAUUCCUGGUGUAGCGGUGAAAUGCGUAGAUAUCAGGAGGAACACCGGUGGCGAAGGCGGCCUUCUGGACGGUGACUGACGCUGAGGCGCGAAAGCCAGGGGAGCAAACGGG
This 253-nucleotide ribosomal RNA is filed under the name uncultured bacterium. RNAcentral's name for it is "partial 16S ribosomal RNA". It matches the Rfam family "Bacterial small subunit ribosomal RNA", at positions 524 to 776 of the family's 1533-position model. The record is from RNAcentral.